UAUGGUUGUGACUGACAAAAUGAACAUACUUCUGAUGUGAAUGUUAGUUGAAUUUUCUUUUACCUUAACAAGUAAGAGAAAUGUGGGGCACCUGGUGUCUCCUGGUUCUG
Callorhinus ursinus (northern fur seal) is the source of this 110-nucleotide non-coding RNA. The record is from RefSeq and is a predicted model, not a curated record. Lineage: Eukaryota; Metazoa; Chordata; Mammalia; Carnivora; Otariidae.